ACAUCAUUGCAAUUGUUUCUGUGAUACCCAAAAUCAAUGAAACGUUUCCUUCUGAUGAUACUCUCUUGCUCUUCUUUGCUAGCUCAGAUUUGGACAGAGGUAAAAAAUAAGAAAAAGAAUGCAAACUUUUUUGUUAAUUUGUGUUGUAUUGUAUAGUAUUGAUCAUAUGUUAAAAUUAAUGGAUUGGUAAUACCGUUCUUGAUCAGAUGGGCAGCAAAAACCAUUGAUCGGAGGUGUGGCAGAAUUAAUCAAGAAUGAAUCUACAGCAGAAAAGUACAAAUACGUUGCUAAAAUUCAAGUUCCAAAAGGUUUUGGAGAGAUUGGAGCUGUGAUUGUUGAAUUGAAAGACGACUCGUCUGAGAAAUUUAUCGAUACUGUUAUUGUUGCAAAUCCAACAUCUCAUAACACAAUUACGUUCAGCUGUACCUCAUGGGUUCAACCCAAAAGUCUCAUUCCUGACCAACGCAGGGUUUUCUUUUCCACGAAGGUUCGUUGGUUCAUAUAUAUAUAUAUAUAUAUUGUUGUGUAAUGAUUAUUACGAGAGAUGAUUCAAAUUAAUGAAUUGUGUUGCUAAUAAUUGAAUAUGGAAUAAUAUGAGCAGUCCUAUUUGCCCGGAGAUACGCCAGCAGGGCUGCUGAAGUUGAGAGCAGAAGAUCUCGAGAAUUUGAGAGGCCAAAAAGAAGAUGGAACAGUGGAUACAAAUGAGCGUAAGGCGUUCGAAAGGAUUUACGAUUACGACGUGUACAAUGACCUCGGAGAUCCCGACGUAGACACCAAAUGGAAAAGACCAGUUCUUGGUGGUUCAGUUCAGUAUCCUUACCCCCGACGUUGUAGAACUGGUCGUCCUGCUACCGUAUCAGGUAUGUAUAUAUACACUUCUCUUGUUUCUAUAUCAUACAUUUUCAUUAUGGAGUUUGCAAAAAUAGCAAAAAAAUUACGAUAACAGAGUCCAUCUCAAUUACUUUUUCAAAAUUGUAAAAAUAACAAAUUUUAAAAGUAGAAUAUCGUCGAUUACUGUCAUAUUUGCCAAAUUUGCAAUAUGAAAAAAAAAAUGUUAUGAGCUAUUUUUUCUAAAAAAAUUUUGUUCCUUUUCGUUAAAGUUUUUCUUUUUCAUGGUUUUUUUUUUACUUAUAUUUUCAAAUUCUCAUAGUUUACGUUUUUAGUUUAUUUUGAUUUUUAUACAUUUUGUCUUAAGUUUUUAAAAUUGGACCAACUUGAUUUCUUAAAAAUAAAAAUAUGAAUGGGAUGAAUCAUUGAAUGAAAGUUGAAAAAUAAAAAAUUUGGUAUUUUUAAAUAUAGCAAAAUAAAUAAAAAUAUUUACAAAAUAUUCCUAUCUAUUACUUACCUACACUAAUAGUAUUUAAAUUAAGAGUAAUUAUAACAAGCAACAACUUUAAAAAUAAUAAUGAAGUAUAUAGUAACAUUUUUUUAAAAAAAUUAUAAAUAUAGUCCACCAAACCAAUAUUAGAGCAACAUAGAGAUUGAUUUUGGUAUGUGGGUAACUUUUUAAAAUUUUGUUGUCCACUUACAUUAUACAUAAAAAUAAAAACUCAAAAAAUAUUUUUAAGAAUAAGAAAAUAAGAGUUGGCAUUUAGUUAAUAAUAUAAAAGAAAAUUAAACAUAUAGUUACUUGAAAUUAAAUAUAAUAAUGUUUUUGGGAAGUAAUUAACAAAUGAUACAAUUGUGGUUAGAUCCAAAGUCAGAGCAAAGAAGUACAGAAAGCUUUUAUGUUCCAAGAGAUGAAGCAUUCUCAGAAGUUAAGCAGAAAAUGUUCCCAUCAAACCCAGGGAAGAAAGAUAAGUUAGGAGCAAAGCCUUUCACCGACUUUACUCAGAUUGACUUAAUGUUCAGAGACGGCAUUGCACCUCCAUCCAAUCCACAUGAAAUUCUUCAAUUUAACAUUAUCUCCACACUUAAUGCAUCAAAUCAACCCGCCCCACCUUCUGUUCAGCCCACUCCUGUUCAACCCGACACCCCUGUAAUCAAAUUCCCACCACCUGAGGCUCUCAAAAGUAAGCACCAUACAUACACACGACAUAAACAAAACUUUUCUUUUCUUUUUCUUUUUUGUAAGCAAUUUUCAGUACAACUUAAUUAAUUCAUUUACAUCACAAUACGUAAUCCUUGUGUUUUUCCAGGAGACAAGUUCAAUUGGCUUAGUGACAGUGAAUUUGCAAGACAAACAAUUGCGGGUCUUAAUCCCUAUUGUAUACAGUUGGUCAAGGUGAGUGACAGACUAACAAUAAUCAAUAAAUAUAUAUCAAACUACCCUUACCCACUAGCUUUAAUUAAAACCAAGUCAAAUAUUAGGGAUUUAAGACAGAUAUUUUUAAUCUGCUCUCUAUAGUAUAUAUGAAAUUAUAGCUUAAUUAUUUUGUAUGAAUAAAUUCAGAGUUGGCCUUUGAAGAGUGAGCUGGACCCCGUGGAAUAUGGUCCUCAAGAAUCAGCAUUCACCACGGAAUUGGUUCAAAAAUUAAUAGGAAGUUCCAUCACAGUUGAAGAGGCUAUAGCGCAAAAGAAAUUGUUCGUAUUAGAUUACCAUGAUACUUUGAUGCAAUAUGUAGAGAAAGUAAGAAGCAUUAAGCGAACCACACUCUAUGGAUCAAGAACCUUGUUCUUCCUAAACGAUGAUGACACUUUGAGUCCCUUGGGUAUUGAGCUAACUCGGCCACCAAUGGCUGGAAAGCCCCAAUGGAAACAAGUUUUCUCACCAAGCACUCAAGCAACAAAUGCUUGGCUAUGGAGGCUUGCUAAAGCCCAUGUUCUUGCUCAUGAUUCUUGUGUUCACCAACUCGUUAUUCAUUGGUACGUACCUAUAUAUAUAUUGCUUAAAAGAAAAACAAUUUUUGAUAUCACCGUGUUUGUGGAUAGUAUAAUUAAUUAAUUAUAUAUCUAUAUAUAUGCAGGCUUAGAACUCACUGUUGCAUGGAGCCAUAUGCAAUCGCCUUAAACAGACAAUUGAGUACUAUGCACCCAAUCUAUAGAUUAUUGCAUCCUCAUUUCCGAUUCAAUAUGCGUAUCAACUCAAAUGCUCGUGAAAUUCUAAUCAAUGCCGGAGGCAUCAUUGAAAGCACAUUCUCUGCUGGAGGUUAUUCCAUGGAAUUUAGUUCUUUGGUAUAUAAGAAGGAGUGGCAAUUUGACACACAAGCACUCCCUGAGGACUUAAUUCGCAGGUAAUUUAUCAAGACGUACAACUUUUGAUUUGAAAUCAAUAUAAUUAAAUUUGAGCAGUGUUUGGCUAGACCAAAUAUAAUUAUGCAUGCUAAUAAUUAUUAGUGAUAAAUUUAAAAUUAUUAGGGGAAUGGCGGAAAGAGAUGCAAGUGCACCACAUGGUCUGAAGUUGGCAAUCAAAGACUACCCUUUCGCCAACGAUGGUUUAAUCUUAUGGGAGGCCCUAGUGGAAUGGAUUUCAGAAUAUGUGAACCACUAUUACCCAGAUGAGAAAGCGAUAAAGAACGAUAAAGAGUUGAAAGCUUGGUGGAAAGAAAUCAAGGAAAAGGGACAUCCAGAUAAAAAGAAGGAAGCAGGAUGGCCAUCACUAAAAACCCCAAACGACUUAAUUCAGAUUGUGUCAACAAUAGCAUGGGUAGGAUGUGGGCACCACACUGCUGUCAACUUCAUUCAAUAUGCACAUGCUGGCUAUUUUCCUAACCGACCCAGUAUUGCAAGGACAAACAUGCCCACAGAGGACUAUGACCAAAUUCCAGAAGCGUUUAUAAACAAUCCUGAAAGUGUGAUACUUGAGGCCUUCCCUUCAAUAGCUCAAGCUUCUACAGUGGCCCAAACUAUGUUGAUACUGUCAGCACAUUCUCCAGAUGAGGAGUAUAUUGGGAAGAAGAUAGAGCCAGCAUGGGCUGAGGACCCCAUGAUAGCCAAAGCCUUUGACAAGUUUAAAAUGAAGUUGGAUAAACUAGAAAAGACAAUUGAUCAAAGGAAUGAGAACAAUGAAUUGAAGAAUAGGCGUGGAGCUGGGCUUGUGCCUUAUGAGGUUCUUAAACCAACUUCAGGUUUUGGGGUCACAGGAAAGGGAGUUCCAUACAGUGUUUCCACUUGAGUCACACGUCUCCCUUCCUCGUAUUCGUUGUCUUUUUCAGCUUUCUGCAUUUUUUUCUUACUUGGGAACCAUAAGAUAUGUAAUUUUCAUUUUGUACGUCAGUGUCUUUGCCUUAUGUGCAUGACUUUAUUAGAAUAAUUUAAAUGCCAAGUAAUUUAUAUAUCCAUUACAUUAUUCCAUUUUUCUUCACACCAAACUGAUCUUUUAAACAAAAUAGAAGAUUUAGAAUAGAUUGGCCACCGAGUCUCUAAGAAUAUAGAAUACAUUCAACUUGUGCAUGUAUAUAUAUAUAUAUAUUAUUUUCUUCAAGUUGUGAGUUGAAGUGUCUAAAACAUAGAAACUUUCUUUUCUUAUAACCAAAACUCAAUUUUGCAGACAUAAGCUUAGUAAAAAAAGAAGAAAUAAAAGGAGAAAUUGCCAAAAAUAUUAAUCAAUUUAUUAUCAUUUAUUGAAACCUUCAAAAUCAAAUAAAACUCCUCUACUUAUAAAAGGUGUGUAUUUUGUUGGUUUAUACCUGGUUAGUCCAUGGAUUUGAAUCUUAAUUAACAUUUGGACCAAAUUAAGUAUAUUUUUAGACUAAAUUAUAUUUUAUCUCUUAUGUUAAUAUCAAAUUGAAAAAAAAUGAUUUUAUUUAAUUAAACGGUUACAACGAAAACACGAGACAAUAUUGUUGAGAUUUAUCAAUUUAUUGUAUUAAAUUUGAGUUUAAACACAAAUGUAACUUUCAUUUAAACACUACUAAGUUUUUUUCUUUCUAAUUAAAGUGCAUGAUCACAAAUUGACUCAAAUUUCUUUCAUCAAAUUUAAACACUUCAAGGUGUUGAUUGGUAAAUUCAGGGUGAAACAAAGGAAGUUCAUCCUUAGAUGAAAGAAAACUCUCCAACAAUCAACUAUUCUAAAGGUACUAAUUAAUUUAAACUAACAACUAAAGUAAUAAUUAAAUAUUAAUUGUCUAAUAAUUGAUCUCACAUUUUAUUUACAAAUAUUAAAUUAAUUUACUAAUACACCCUAGGUUCUUCUAGAAGUAGGAAAAGAACAAUUAAUAAAAAUUAAUUUAUCAUUUCAUUUAAUUUCAAAUUUUAGCCUACCUAACAUAUACAUAUAAUUGAAUUGGCAUAAAUUAUUUGGAAUUUUUUAUAAAUUUAAUAAAAUACCAAAAUAUUUAUCCAUCCUAUCACAUAAUAAAAAAGUCCAUAAAACCAAUCAUUUUUUAAAAAAAUAUUCCAACUUUGUCUUUUUCUACAAUUUUUCUUUUUCUUUCCACCGUUUUUUUAUCUUCUUCUAUAAUUUUCUUUUAUUUUUUUUAACUAUUAUUUGGUUCAAGAUCGUGUACCAAAUAUAAAAAAUUUAUUUUUUUAUUAAAAAAUCUAUUUUUUCUUUAAUUGUUUUCGAACUAUUAUUUCGCGCUAUUCAAGAUCAUGUACCAAAUAUAAAAAAUCUUGAAAAAAAUGGAUAUUGGUACACUUUGUAGCUAAAUCUAAACGAUGCUGUACACAAAAAAUCUUAUUUAGAUUUUGGUCCAAAAUCUAAAAGUACGUUUAGAUUGUGCAUGAAAGAAUCUUGACAAAAAAUGAUCGUUACCACAAAUAGGAUAAGUUGUAGCUAAAUCUAAACGAUCUAAAAAAAUCUUUGAAAAAAUUUGUUUAGAUUUGGGUAACGAUCAAAUUUAAACGAUCGUGUACCAAAUAAUGUUGAAAAAAAAAAUCUCUAAACGAUUCAUACUAAAUAAUAGCAAAAUUUAAACGAUUGUGUACAUAACAUAUUUAAAAAAAUCGUUUAAAUUUGGACAAUGAUCGUGUAGCAAAAUCUAAACAAUUUUGGUGCGUGUACUAAAUAUAUUAUAUAUUAUGCGUGUGAGUGCCAAUUAAUCAUGUGUUGAUGAAAUACUUUUUGUAUUUUUCAUCGUCGAUUGGAAGGUUUUGAGUUCAAAAUUGUUUAUAGAGUAAAAUUGUAAGAGUAAACUAUUUUUUUCUAAUUUUAAAUCUUAUAGCAUUAUUUAAAAAAAAUAAACAACUUUUUAUACUUAUAUUAAAAACUCAAAGAACUGCAGCAGCUAACCCAUUUGAUCAUUUUUCAUAAAGAAAAAAAAGAAAAGAAAACACUUUUUAAACAAUUUAAGGACUUAUUGAAAAGAUACAUUAUUAAAAUUCAAGAUUGAAGGAGAAAUUGGGGAAGUAAAAAUAUAAUAUUAUAUAAAAACAAAUUUAUAGUUUAAAACUAACAAGUUGAAAGGAAGGAAGGUGGUAAUGAACAAAGAGAGGGGCCAACAAAAGGUAGCCAGUGGUCAAUAUAUUCCAAAGUGUGGGGUUAUGAUUAAUUAAUGCAUUCACAUUUUAUAGGAUUAUUAUUACAAUUCUAUGGGACGACCUCGUACCCCAUGAUUUAUAUUAUUUUUUAUGGUGAUCACAUUCAUACUAUCAUCUAAUGAAUUCAAUGUAAGAAUUAAUUACCUUUGUUUAUAAAAUAUCAACCACUAAUUCACAAGACUUCAACUUUAGUUUUUUCUAAUUAAAUUCAUGAUAUAACUAAUAUUUUUCCUUUAUUUUAGGAUAAUUUUUUAAUUUCUAUAUAUAUAUAUCACUUUCCUCAAAAUUUGUUGCAAUUUAAUUGUACGGACAUCAUAAAUUUAAGAAGUUCAAUCAAUCUAACUUACGAGUUGAGUUGAACCAACUCCAAGUUUUAAAAGAUAAGCCAUUCACUUAUCAUAUAUAAUUGUAUUUACAUGUAUUUAUAAUUUUCAUAUUUUUUUAAUAGUUUAUUCCUCAUCCACUUUUAAAGGAGAACAAUAUUUUAAAAAAAGAGCAAAAUAAAUUAAAAUAUCUAGAAGCUAUAACAAAAUUUUGGAUUCUAAUGAUGACAUAUUAAUGACUAUCAGGAUAUAAUUUGCUAUAUAUUGUAAAUGUUUGGUAAAAUUUGCUAUUUUAAAAAUUUCUUCAUUCUUAAAAGUAUUUUUUUAAUAGUUUAGAAAUAAUUUUUUUAUUGAGUUAUUAACCAUAAUUUAUUAUAUUAAAAUCAUUAAAUUAUUUUUUAAAUAAAUAACUUUAUCCAAAACUCAUAUAUUUUAGGAUAAUUUUUUUAAAGAGUAGAUUUUACAAAAUAUUUGUAACCUAUAGUACAUUUUAUCACUAUAGCAUAUCAUAGUAUCAAGCGAUAGAAUUUAAAAUUUGGCUAUAAUUUAUAAAUAUUUUAAUUUAUUUUACUAUUUUUAAAAAUAUUUUUAUAUUUUAUGGUUGAGUUAAUUAAUUUUUUAAUAUGAGUUAUUUGGAUGGAUUAAAUCUACAACUCUAAGAUGUGCUUCUUCAAGUUUAUUCCAACCCACAAAUCCCCUAACUUUUAGUGUAUUCUUUCUAUCGAUAAAAACAACGUGUAUCUACGCAAUAUUCAAUCUUCUAUCUACGUCUAUAUUUUUGUCAGCAAAAAUGAAUACGUAUCCACCCAACGAAAUUAUAUCUUUACCUACAUUUUUUCUUUUGUCGUUAGAAAAAUAACUUUCGCUUGGAGUGAUAAGACAUUUUAUGUGUGGUGUGAAAUGACUGACACUUCUAGGCUACAUAAUUUCUUUUUCCAAAAGAAAAUUGGACCCCAAACAAAUAAGUAGUAACUUAUUUUAUGAUUAGUCCAAAUUUUGUCCAUUCACCAACUAACUUUUAAUUAUAUAUAGAUAGAUAGAAGUUUGACUAAAUAAACAAUUGAAAUACUAGGUAAAAAAUUCAUAAAAUUUAACAAAAAUAAAUUGUGGCUAAUCAAGGUCAUUUUUCUCUAGAUAACAUGUUAUCAAAUCGAUAUAUAUACAAGUCGUGAUUAAUUGAGCUUUAGGAUAUAGUUUUUUUGGCUCGUUCCACCAUUUCUUAAACGAUAUAGUUAUAUUUGAACCUUCAUGAAGUUAGAUUAUGUUCGUUACCCAAAAAUAACAUUAUAAUUUAUAACCUAGCUAAUGUUAGGUAUUUCCAUAUUUUCUCCUAAUACACUUAAUUAAAAUAAAAGUUCUCAAACCAAAAUUUCAAAUGGACAAUCAUUUUAUAUAUUUCCCUUGAACCUCAUCAUAGUAUUUUUCAUAGAUGUAAUUUGGAAUUCAAAUAAUAAAAACAAAAGAUUGUUUGUGGAACACAUUCACACAAACUUUCGAUUCUUACUGGCAUCAUUAUCGUUAUAAAUAGCAUCCAACAUACGUGUUAUUUGCUAUGCUUAAUUUAGCUUGCUAUUCUAAUCAACCUAGGAAGAAACAUGGUGAAUGUUAAUUUAAGUUCUUCCUAGUUAACAUUCAUCUUAGCAUAAUUCAAAUUCUCAAUACUUUUUUGCUUAACUUGAUCAUUACCCCACUUUCAUCUAAUUAAAUUGACUAAUUGAUUAGUUAGAACUCUCACUUCCUCUUUCAAGUGAGUUGACUAAGCUUAAAUAAAAUAGAAAAUAAUUCAAUGAAUCUAUAAUCAAGUUAUAGUUGAAGAAAUACCUCAAAAGAUUAAGUUAGACCAUAACAUAAUUGUAUUGAUCCGUUUGAAUUUGUAU
RNAcentral lists this long non-coding RNA (8560 nucleotides) under Cucumis sativus (cucumber). RNAcentral's name for it is "long non-coding RNA (CSAT_LNC001579)". The record is from RNAcentral. Lineage: Eukaryota; Viridiplantae; Streptophyta; Magnoliopsida; Cucurbitales; Cucurbitaceae.